UCUCCUGGAAAACGGGUGGUAAUGCCGGAUGCUCCGGUUGGAUGCAUGUCCUUCCGGGAAAGAUUCUAUCGGUAUGGGAUGGGGUCGCGUCCUAUCAGCUUGAUGGCGGGGUAACGGCCCACCAUGGCUUCGACGGGUAGCCGGCCUGAGAGGGCGACCGGCCACAUUGGGACUGAGAUACGGCCCAGACUCCUACGGGAGGCAGCAGUGGGGAAUAUUGCACAAUGGGCGCAAGCCUGAUGCAGCGACGCCGCGUGCGGGAUGGAGGCCUUCGGGUUGUAAACCGCUUUUGAUCGGGAGCAAGCCCUUCGGGGUGAGUGUACCUUUCGAAUAAGCACCGGCUAACUACGUGCCAGCAGCCGCGGUAAUACGUAGGGUGCAAGCGUUAUCCGGAAUUAUUGGGCGUAAAGGGCUCGUAGGCGGUUCGUCGCGUCCGGUGUGAAAGCCCAUCGCUUAACGGUGGGUCUGCGCCGGGUACGGGCGGGCUGGAGUGCGGUAGGGGAGACUGGAAUUCCCGGUGUAACGGUGGAAUGUGUAGAUAUCGGAAAGAACACC
RNAcentral lists this ribosomal RNA (555 nucleotides) under Bifidobacterium dentium. Its description in RNAcentral is "bacterial SSU rRNA". It matches the Rfam family "Bacterial small subunit ribosomal RNA", at positions 146 to 710 of the family's 1533-position model. The record is from RNAcentral. Lineage: Bacteria; Bacillati; Actinomycetota; Actinomycetes; Bifidobacteriales; Bifidobacteriaceae.